CAGGGGUGAAAUCAGGAGCAAGAAUUCUGACUGAACAAGCAGGAGCCUGAAGAAAUGUCUUUCUAUGGUCUGUUGGCCAUUUCAGAACUUAGGAAAUGUAAUGGUCAAUUCAUUAGAAAGAAACAGCU
RNAcentral lists this small nucleolar RNA (128 nucleotides) under Myotis davidii. Lineage: Eukaryota; Metazoa; Chordata; Mammalia; Chiroptera; Vespertilionidae. The record is from RNAcentral.